Molecule: ribosomal RNA, 1428 nt
Filed under: uncultured organism
Description: SSU rRNA
Rfam family: Bacterial small subunit ribosomal RNA
Source: RNAcentral
AUGAACGCUAGCGACAGGCUUAACACAUGCAAGUCGAGGGGCAGCACAGGUAGCAAUACCGGGUGGCGACCGGCGCACGGGUGAGUAACGCGUAUGCAACUUGCCUAUCAGAGGGGGAUAACCCGGCGAAAGUCGGACUAAUACCGCAUGAAGCAGGGAUCCCGCAUGGGAAUAUUUGCUAAAGAUUCAUCGCUGAUAGAUAGGCAUGCGUUCCAUUAGGCAGUUGGCGGGGUAACGGCCCACCAAACCGACGAUGGAUAGGGGUUCUGAGAGGAAGGUCCCCCACAUUGGUACUGAGACACGGACCAAACUCCUACGGGAGGCAGCAGUGAGGAAUAUUGGUCAAUGGCCGAGAGGCUGAACCAGCCAAGUCGCGUGAGGGAUGAAGGUUCUAUGGAUCGUAAACCUCUUUUAUAAGGGAAUAAAGUGCGGGACGUGUCCCGUUUUGUAUGUACCUUAUGAAUAAGGAUCGGCUAACUCCGUGCCAGCAGCCGCGGUAAUACGGAGGAUCCGAGCGUUAUCCGGAUUUAUUGGGUUUAAAGGGUGCGUAGGCGGCCUUUUAAGUCAGCGGUGAAAGUCUGUGGCUCAACCAUAGAAUUGCCGUUGAAACUGGGGGGCUUGAGUAUGUUUGAGGCAGGCGGAAUGCGUGGUGUAGCGGUGAAAUGCAUAGAUAUCACGCAGAACCCCGAUUGCGAAGGCAGCCUGCCAAGCCAUUACUGACGCUGAUGCACGAAAGCGUGGGGAUCAAACAGGAUUAGAUACCCUGGUAGUCCACGCAGUAAACGAUGAUCACUAGCUGUUUGCGAUACACUGUAAGCGGCACAGCGAAAGCGUUAAGUGAUCCACCUGGGGAGUACGCCGGCAACGGUGAAACUCAAAGGAAUUGACGGGGGCCCGCACAAGCGGAGGAACAUGUGGUUUAAUUCGAUGAUACGCGAGGAACCUUACCCGGGUUUGAACGCAUUCGGACCGAGGUGGAAACACCUUUUCUAGCAAUAGCCGUUUGCGAGGUGCUGCAUGGUUGUCGUCAGCUCGUGCCGUGAGGUGUCGGCUUAAGUGCCAUAACGAGCGCAACCCUUGCCACUAGUUACUAACAGGUAAAGCUGAGGACUCUGGUGGGACUGCCAGCGUAAGGUGCGAGGAAGGCGGGGAUGACGUCAAAUCAGCACGGCCCUUACAUCCGGGGCGACACACGUGUUACAAUGGCGUGGACAAAGGGAAGCCACCUGGCGACAGGGAGCGAAUCCCCAAACCACGUCUCAGUUCGGAUCGGAGUCUGCAACCCGACUCCGUGAAGCUGGAUUCGCUAGUAAUCGCGCAUCAGCCAUGGCGCGGUGAAUACGUUCCCGGGCCUUGUACACACCGCCCGUCAAGCCAUGGGAGCCGGGGGUACCUGAAGUCCGUAACCGCGAGGAUCGGCCUAGGGUA